This 1338-nucleotide long non-coding RNA is filed under the name Equus caballus (horse). RNAcentral's name for it is "lncRNA (ENSECAG00000041220.2)". Lineage: Eukaryota; Metazoa; Chordata; Mammalia; Perissodactyla; Equidae. The record is from RNAcentral.
CGAGCAGAUAAGAGGAUCUCUGUUCAUAUUUUUCCCAAAACUGUUCCAGAAGUCCAGGAAGCAGGGACUUUGGCCACAGCAGGAGAGAGCUCCUUGAAACAGAUGUUCUUGAUGUCUCCAGGAGCAUGCUACCUUGCCUGUCAAUUGCUUUAAAUAUUUCAUCACAGACCAGGUGUGACUACAUAUGUGCUAGUUAGUUCAAGCAUCAUCUCUAAGCAUAUCAGCUGUCCAAAGCAACACUAGGUGUUCCUGGGGUGAUCAGUUGGCAUGCACAAGAGGGGCCACAACAAAGUGCUACUGAUAUGAGUAUUUCCAUCAAUGCUUUGCUAAUUAGAAUAGUGAAUAUUGGAAAUUGCUUUUCAAUGAUGAAAUUAGCGACUUGUUGGUUAACAUGAUUCAUGGUUGGAAAUGCAUUCUAAUUGGUGUAAGUAAUGGUAUUGAAGAUAUGUAGGCUGGAUGAAGUAUUUUUGAGACAUUGCCCACCCUUUAUAAUCACGAAGUGAGAAUCCAGCACCCUGAGGAAGGAGUGUUCCUAAAUGAUCCCAUAUCCAGCCAUUGUCUCAGAGGAUUUCUGUUUGCCAAAGCCAACUCUAACCCUCACUGAAUUGAACCUCUGGAUGUUAGAGUGACUUCCACGAGUGGACUUUCAGAAGGCGGACGCCACUGGGAUCAAAGAAAUCGUAGCUCAGCUUUAAGUUUCAAAAUGAUUUGAAGUCUAUGCUGAAGAUAAUAAUCUUGAAAGGAGGAGAUAGUCCAGGUGCUUGUCCUUGACGGUGUCUGUCUCCAUGGAGGAUAGUGGAUUCUGGAGCCAGGAAGCCAGAGAGUUUCUCUCAUAGAAAACCUGCUUGCACGUGGGCACAAAGUAGCAUUAACCUGAUGUUGAGGACAGCAGUGUUUGUUAUAACAAAACUCUGGAAAGAGCCUAAGUGCCCAUGAAGAAGGGAAUGGUAGAAGAAACUGUAGAACAUCCAUCUCACAAAACACCAGACAGCAAUUCAAAGGAAUGAAGCAGACAGAGAUGUGGUAGCUUAGAAAUACCUGGAAGACUUAGUGGCUAAGAAGAAAAGGAAGAUAAUUGGCGACUCUGUUCCAGAAGGUAUCCCAGAUUCCAUCUCCCCUCUGGUUUGGGCCCUGAGUGGAGGCAUUUGCAAACAAGGACUAAUCCUUCCUGGCAUGAGGAUGCUGCUUUCAGAAAAGUAAAGUGGAAGGCUCUUUCAUGAGCAAAACUUUCAUUGCUUUCAUAACUAAUCCAACUGAGGACACGGUCCACUGAGGUAUACGUUAGGGACGCUUGACAUUGUAUUUAUUUUCUAUUAAUAAAUCUGGGCUUCUCUCAAG